CUACGGGCCGCUCCAGUAAGGAAUAUUGCGCAAUGGAGGCAACUCUGACGCAGCCAUGCCGCGUGCAGGACUGAAGGCCUUAUGGGUCGUAAACUGCUUUUAUUUAGGAAUAAACUCUUGUACGUGUACGAGACUGAAGGUACUAAAUGAAUAAGCACCGGCUAACUCCGUGCCAGCAGCCGCGGUAAUACGGAGGGUGCAAGCGUGUAUCCGGAUUUAUUGGGUUUAAAGGGUGCGCAGGCGGACUAUUAAGUCAGAGGUGAAAUCCCGGAGCUCAACUUCGGAACUGCCUUUGAUACUGGUAGUCUUGAAUACGGUUGAAGUAGGCGGAAUGUAGCAUGUAGCGGUGAAAUGCAUAGAGAUGCUACAGAACACCGAUCGCGAAGGCAGCUUACUAAGCCGAUAUUGACGCUCAGGCACGAAAGCGUGGGGAGCGAACAGGAUUAGAUACCCCCGUAGUC
Molecule: ribosomal RNA, 461 nt
Filed under: uncultured bacterium
Lineage: Bacteria
Description: partial 16S ribosomal RNA
Rfam family: Bacterial small subunit ribosomal RNA
Source: RNAcentral